AACAGUAAGUACAGUUACGUGAAUCUAGCUUUUCUGGUGUCCCCAAGCGUUCAAACAGCUUUUUUGGUAAAAUGAAUCCUGGGAAACUAAAAGUACCCCUACCUUUUGCGUUUCCUGCUGCCUCAGUCCCUCCAGUUUGAGUUAGUUUUCCUCUAGAGGCUUUGGAGGGAAAGUUUUCCUCUUGCCACACUCACCUUGAAGCAGGACGUAAUGGAUUGCCGUGGCUUUCACUAUGCAUCUUGUCUCAAUACAGGCCUUCGGGGGACAGGCCUGCGACAUUACCCAGUCUACAAAGGCAGAUUGAAUAUGAAAGCCUCAACCAUCACAUCAAGCCACAGAUCAAUCAUAGCCACCACACAGAGAAA
Molecule: long non-coding RNA, 365 nt
Filed under: Homo sapiens (human)
Lineage: Eukaryota; Metazoa; Chordata; Mammalia; Primates; Hominidae
Description: non-protein coding lnc-SPATA19-6:1
Source: RNAcentral